CNACGACCUCAGAUCAGGCG
Molecule: ribosomal RNA, 20 nt
Filed under: Philotrypesis sp. IOZA0115
Lineage: Eukaryota; Metazoa; Arthropoda; Insecta; Hymenoptera; Pteromalidae
Description: partial 28S ribosomal RNA
Source: RNAcentral